Molecule: ribosomal RNA, 400 nt
Filed under: uncultured bacterium
Lineage: Bacteria
Description: bacterial SSU rRNA
Rfam family: Bacterial small subunit ribosomal RNA
Source: RNAcentral
AAGGAAUAUUGGACAAUGGGGGCAACCCUGAUCCAGCCAUGCCGCGUGAAUGAAGAAGGCCUUAGGGUUGUAAAGUUCUUUCGUCUACGAAGAUAAUGACUGUAGUAGAAGAAGAAGCUCCGGCUAAAUUCGUGCCAGCAGCCGCGGUAAUACGAAUGGAGCGAGCGUUGUUCGGAAUCACUGGGCGUAAAGGGUGCGCAGGCGGUUAUGAAAGUCAGAAGUGAAAGCCCAGGGCUCAACCCUGGAAUUGCUUUUGAAACUCCAUAACUUGAGUACUGGAGAGGUUGGCGGAAUUCCGAGUGUAGCAGUGAAAUGCGUAGAUAUUCGGAGGAACACCGAUGGCGUAGGCAGCCAACUGGACAGUUACUGACGCUCAUGCACGAAAGCGUGGGGAUCAAAC